Non-coding RNA from Cyanistes caeruleus (blue tit), 1202 nucleotides. The record is from RefSeq and is a predicted model, not a curated record. Lineage: Eukaryota; Metazoa; Chordata; Aves; Passeriformes; Paridae.
GGUACGUAAGCUAAGUGGCAUGACACUGGACUUUGGUACUUCACCCAAUUUCCUUUAAUUUGCAUGUUGAAGAAAGAUAUCAAAAGGGCAGGAUGAAGCCACCUUUGCCCAGCUGCCCUGGUAGGGCUCCCCUGGCAGCCGUGCCGUGGUGUUGUGCUGUGCUGGGGACGGCUGUGCUGUGCCCAGAACGUAGCCCAGCCUUUUCCAUAAGCUGCGUAGGCCGCACAGGUACAGGGGCUGCACACACCCCAAUGUGGGGCAGUGCUGCAUCAGCUGGGCAGGAGCUUGUUUUGCUGUUUCUGUUUGGUUUUUUCACCUCGGUGAUAAUUCUUGCCCAAUGUGCGAUCUCUGCUCUGUGUACUUUACUACUCCUUGUGAUAAUCAAAAUCCGGCCCUGAACUUUUUCACUACAAAGGAAACAAGAACUUUGCCCUGCUGGCUGUUAACAGGGCACUCUGCGAUGCCGCAGCCUCUUCUCACGUGCAAAAACCCCUAAAGUCUGAGGAAAUCAGGCUCACGCUGAUGACAGAACGCUUAUUGUUUUUUCACCGGUGAGGGUGGGGAUCAGCUACUUUGACAUGGACAUGAGGUUUCUGGUGUCAGACUCCUCUUAAAAAAGGAGCAGGCACCCAACCAGUUUGGGGAAAAAAAACCCUUUAAACACCAGGACCGCCAAUAACGGCUCAAAGUGCAACCUGUGGUGGGUUCAAAGCGCUGACACAUUAACCAGACCUUGGGCCACCGUCUGUAGUUGCCGCUGGGUGCCCACACCGUGUCUGCCGGGAGCGGGAAUGAGGGUGGCCCUGUUAUUACCCGAGCGGAGAAAGGGCGCAGCGGUGUUUGCACAGUGCGGACGGAAGCGCUGGUGGCGGCCCUGAGGUGUUGGGUGUGCGGUGGCAGGGCAGCGAUGACAAGGUGUAACCUGCCUCAGGUGAAACCUCUGGCUCCAAGCCUCCCCCUGACCCCAAAAGAGGCAAAGCAUUUCUGGAUUCACUUGAAGACUGACACAUGGACAUGUUUCCAUUGAAGUUGCUACAGGUGACAGGAGCUUUCUUCAGAAGACCGACAAAAGGACUGGAGCACAUAACUUCUCAGUGCUACAAAAAACAUCAGGGACGAAUACAGUCCUGAACGCACAGUCACAAAGCCGUUCCAAAUUGCAACUGUGAGCACCCAUAUGAGUUCAACAGAAAAAGGUAAGA